GCUUAGUCCUGACAGCAGUGGAAAGCCUAUGCAGGUUUGAAACUACUUUUUUCUGGUGGUGGUAGAGCGACCAAAAGAAGCUCCUACCAGCGCCUAGAAAAAGGGUUUGUCACCAAAUAGCUUGAAGCGUAUGGCGGGGAUAGCU
Molecule: unclassified non-coding RNA, 145 nt
Filed under: Flavobacterium frigoris
Lineage: Bacteria; Pseudomonadati; Bacteroidota; Flavobacteriia; Flavobacteriales; Flavobacteriaceae
Description: Flavo-1 RNA
Source: RNAcentral